Non-coding RNA from Cricetulus griseus (Chinese hamster), 584 nucleotides. The record is from RefSeq and is a predicted model, not a curated record. Lineage: Eukaryota; Metazoa; Chordata; Mammalia; Rodentia; Cricetidae.
GAUAAGAACAAAUUCCCUACUACUGCUAGGUUCAAAAUCCCAACUCACAGAAGAGGGGGAGCUGCAGUUCCUUCCAAGCUUAGUUUAGAAUCCAGUUUUAAUGCAGUCAGAACUUUAUGUGACAAGGGAAGAAUGUCCCAGUAGCUCUCCUGCUGCCUGUCUACCCAUGAGUCAGGACAGUGCACUCCAGACAACUGCCAGAGGCCAAAGGGCACCUCGGCCUUCACCACAGUUUUGCUCAAAAUACACAAUGUGUGUGUGCACCAUGUGCAGACCUGAUGCCCUUGGAAGUCAGAAGAAGGAAUUGGAUUCCCUGCAACUUGAGUUACAGAAGAAUUCCUUGGAGAGUGGACGUCACGACCAAACGGAAGAACAAAAGAACAAUUCUCAGAAGCACAGCAAAAAUGAAACCAAAUAAAAAACCCAUAAAAAUCCCUAUGGGGCAGAGGAAAUACCAGCCUGGUGUCUUUUGUGCCUUAUGCUGGGUCAUAAAGGGCAGCUUCGCCAAGAGGUGGUGAUGAUGUGGCAAUGUUUGGACUUGAGAGAGAAUGUUCUGGAAAACAAUAAAAGGCAGCACCCAUGUA